Apodemus sylvaticus (European woodmouse) is the source of this 702-nucleotide long non-coding RNA. RefSeq lists it as uncharacterized. The transcript has 2 exons. NCBI's taxonomy places the organism in Eukaryota, Metazoa, Chordata, Mammalia, Rodentia, Muridae. The record is from RefSeq and is a predicted model, not a curated record.
GAGACCCAGACCGCAAACCUUGCUCUUUCAACCAAGACCAAUUGCAAUUUAGAUACAGGCGAAUGACUGUGAAGAAGACCAAUUAGAACCUUCAAAGGGAACGUGUCCGGCCUCUUCUCUGAGGGACGGUUCUGCCUACCAAUAACAUGGGCUAGGAGAUGCUCCAUUCGCUAGACAGAAGGCGGGUGAGCUAGAAUUUUUGAGACCCAGGUUCCCCAAGUGGCCGUUGGCUAGUUACCGUCAGAAAUCAGGAAUUGGAAUCCAGGACCAUGCACAUGUUAAGCACAAGCCCUGCACACAAGCUGCAGCUCCUGGUUAACACAGAUACUGGAGUUGGUGUGGGUGAUUCGCAGCUGGCCAGAGCAGUCAACGGAUGGAUCUGCUGGGCUCUUAGGCCCGGGUUGUCUAACAGGACUAAAUCCGGAGUUCCUGGGAAAGCCACAUUCCCCAUAUUUAUUGGUGUAGACCUUCCCCUACCUAUCAGAUGCAACCUCAUCUGCUGUGUCUCCUGGACAAUGUGCCACUCCGCAAGAAUUGCCAAGUGCCUGGACUCCGGGGGAUGCCCCAGACUCCAGAGCUCAUUCACCCUUUCCCCACCUCAACAGCUUGUCCUCUGCCCGUGCAACCAGGCCGCUGACCAUCAAGAAAGCAGUGCAGGAGCUUGGGCUUGUUCUCAGUAAAACUGUGAAGUAUUUAUACUCA